CAAUAGCGUAUAUUAAAGUUGUUGCGGUUAAAAAGCUCGUAGUUGGAUCUCGGCAGGCAGGGGGUGGUUCGCUCUUAGCGCUACUGCCCCAUUUGCCUGUGUGAUUGGCGGAGGUUUCGGGGUGCUCUUCGUUGAGUGACCCGGGGCGCCGUCAGGUUUACUUUGAAAAAAUUAGAGUGCUCAAAGCAGGCUUUUCACGCUUGAAUAUUCGUGCAUGGAAUAAUGGAAUAGGAACUCGUUUCUAUUUUGUUGGUUUUCGGAAAUCGAGUUAACGAUUAAUAGGGACAAUUGGGGGCAUUAGUAUUCAGACGACAGAGGUGAAAUUCUUGGACCGUCUGAAGACUAACUACUGCGAAAGCAUUUGCCAAGAGUGUUUUCAUUAA
RNAcentral lists this ribosomal RNA (383 nucleotides) under uncultured eukaryote. RNAcentral describes it as "partial 18S ribosomal RNA". It matches the Rfam family "Eukaryotic small subunit ribosomal RNA", at positions 592 to 976 of the family's 1831-position model. The record is from RNAcentral.